Molecule: transfer RNA, 71 nt
Filed under: Dipodomys ordii (Ord's kangaroo rat)
Lineage: Eukaryota; Metazoa; Chordata; Mammalia; Rodentia; Heteromyidae
Source: Rfam by way of RNAcentral
UGGAAUGUGGCUGAGUGGUAGAGUGCUUGCCUAGCAUGCAUGAGGCCCAGGGUUCAAUUCUUUGGUACCAG